AUGCUCAGCAGGAGUCCUGGAUUCAGCCUAAAGACUGGAAAUAUGUUCUUCAGGAAAAAAAGAGAAAAGAACACUAGAAAAAGAAAUAAAAGCUCUAGGAGACCUUACAUUGGAUUUCUGAUGCCUAGCACACUUCAGGGCCUGGGAAUAGGCCAUGACCAUGGAGCUGAAUCAGAUAUGAUGAAAAUCAUGAUAUUGGUCACCUUAAUAAUGAGUCCGAAACAGAAGAGCCAACCAGGCACCAGAGAAAUCAAUCUGUUUUCACACAGAGAACAAGCAUUUAUGAAGCAUGUACUACUCAAAGGUUUUGAAUACCCCUUAGAGAAUCUCCUGAUUAGACAUGGUACACAUGAUUGUUAUCUCUCUUGCAUGCUCUCAAAGUACCCUUGCUCAUUCUGUGGACCUGACAUCCUGGUGGUGCUUCUGCAGUUGUCACUGAGGUCUUCCCUUCCUGGACCAUGCAGGUGUGGCCUUGGAGAGCAUUGCUUCUGCCAUGUCAGGCAAAUGUCCCUUCCAGCACAGCCCAGCCAACCAGACUCUACCCGUUGGGUAUAUGCUCUCUGGCUGAGGUCUUAA
Molecule: long non-coding RNA, 576 nt
Filed under: Oryctolagus cuniculus (rabbit)
Lineage: Eukaryota; Metazoa; Chordata; Mammalia; Lagomorpha; Leporidae
Description: lncRNA (ENSOCUG00000038475.1)
Source: RNAcentral